This is a long non-coding RNA of Nothobranchius furzeri (turquoise killifish), 8107 nucleotides long. RefSeq lists it as uncharacterized. The record is from RefSeq and is a predicted model, not a curated record. NCBI's taxonomy places the organism in Eukaryota, Metazoa, Chordata, Actinopteri, Cyprinodontiformes, Nothobranchiidae.
ACCCUGCGUCCAUCUUUACGGCAGAGCCGCCGCAGCAUCCUUCAGGAGGGAGAAAACACAACAACCGAGAGCUUUCACUGUUUUUAUGACCCGAUUCCGUCUAGUUAUAAUUAGAUGCAAAGAUAAAGUGCAGCAGCUUGUUAAUCCCUCAGUAUCACGCAGAUCUUUGGAGUCCACUCUCACUGUGAUGCAAAGAUAAUAAGGUCACUGAAAAUCUAAGUGUUUUUGAUUUGCAUCAGAGUGAGAAUCCCAGCCUUAGAUUCUCUUUCUUCCCCUCAUCCUUUCAAAUCCUCUUAUGCAAUAAUUGAUGGCUAAAUCAUGUGUUCUAUUAUUCAUAUAACUCUUAGGCUGGGUGGAUAUUCACCUCCCUGCACCCCCUAGGCUGCAAUAAACUGGUUUGUUUUGUAUUUGUAAUGGACCUGCUAUGAACAGCAUUCCAUCCGGAUGCAAAAAGGGUCAUUUGUUAUGCGUUAGCAGCGAGCUAAGACAUCAGAUGACCAGAGGAAUUGACUGAAAAUGAAGUAAGAUAUUUAGAGGAGCCAGUACAGCUGCCUGAAGUUUGAGUAACAUAUUAAUUACACCUCCAUCAACUGUAUAAACAAGGAGAAUCAAGAUCAAAAGAAACGUUGAUGCUGCUGCCUGAGAUUGAUUAGGGUCACCAUGGCAACUCCACUCAGGAAAGCUGUAAAAUAUAUCAAAAUGCAAUUUUAUCCAUCCAAUUUUCCAUGACUUGUUUCAAGUCUGAUGGAGCUCACUUGUUUCACCACAUUUCUGUUUUCAGUAAAUUUUGUGCUAUUAAAAAUCAACGCAUACGGUUUUUGAUUGACAGUGAGAUUCAGUGAUCUUUGCAGCUCAUUCCAGUCCUUGGAGCAGCAAACUUGAAUGAGGAGCGGCCGAAGAAGGUGUGAGCUUUGGGAAUAACCAUAGGGAUUAGGUUACUGGAACAUAAAUUGCGCUGGUUGUUGGAAGUGAUGAGUAAUGAGCGAAGAUAUGACGGGGUUCUACCGGGGACUGUUUUGUAUUUAAAUUGAUACCAACAACCUGCGGGAAUGGAGUGAUGGCCAGGUAACGAGUGAGUACAGAUCAUUAUGAUGAGUAGUAAAAAAGGCACUAUUGACGAAACAGAUUGCUGAGUGAUAAAUGACAUCGAGUUUAUGAAGACGUUUUUGGAAGCAGUCCUAUAAAUGAUGUCACCGUAAUCUUAUAAGAUAGGAAGGAUUGUCAUUUUGACCAACACAUUCUCACAAACAAGACGUCAAAAUAUGACGCGUGUGACCAAGCCUCAAUAUAUGACGAUUCGGGACGCCCCAGCGCAUCAGGAGACGACGAUCAGGGACACGCUGGGUCACGUGGCUCCGCUGGCAUCACUGUUUGACGCGCGCGGUCACACGGACAUUAUUCGACUAUUUAACCUUCCCCUCACCCCAAUCCUAACCUUAAGGUCCAUAAACUGUGACCUUAAGGUUAGGAUUGGGGUGAGGGGAAGGUUAAGUAGUUCACAAGUAGUUCUAAUGUCCGUCUCACCACCGGCGUUGGUUACCGACGCUCUGGGACAAUGCGUCAGCUGUUUGUUCCUGAUCGUCAUAUCCUGACACGCUGGGGCAUCCCGAAACGUCAUAUAUUAACGCUUGGUCACAUGCGUCAUAUUUUGACGCCUUGGGUGUGAGAAUGUGCGUUUUGACCACGGUUUGCUUUGCAGAAUGAGUAAAGGAUGACCUGUUGGUAUAGAAACCCAAUUCUUGACUUGACUUUAGAAAGCAAAUCCUUGCAAAUUGUAGGAAAUCACAUAUUUUCUUUGUUUUCACGGUUUAAUAAUUAUUAUGGUAAAUGUAUUAUUUAUAAAUGAAGCACCUUCUAGGGUUCUGAUGCUGAACCAGCAUCCCAUCUUGGACCAGCAUACUGGUCCAGCAGGAUUAUUUAAUGAUAUUUGGACAUCUCGCCGAGUCUCAUCUCGUCUUUCAUGUGGAUGAUUGGUCAAACUGUAGAAAAAUAUAUUCUUUUUGUGCGAUGCCUGGUGAAAAAAUUUGCUAUGUCCAAUUUCUGUACAUUUAACCAGAUCAUAAUCCAUUCACUGUGAGAGUGUUUUGAAAAACUUUCAGCUACAAAUUAUAUUUUACCUAUUGUAAAAGAUUGGCACAGUUAUGGUGUUUAAAUGUUAAAUAGUGUGGCCAUUGUUACUUGGGUUAGCUCUAGAAGUUAUGCAAUUAUUAAGAUGCAUCCAAUGACUGCUUUCUGGGAUUUUAAUUCAUGAGACAGAGGCAAAAACAUUAUGAUGCACCCCUCUCCUUGUGGUGGCGUGUGAUAAGGAAGGUAAAAUGCAAACACAUUGGGACAUAAUUAAGAUAGUUUGUGACAAAACUGCACCUAGAAAAUUAGCACAACUGUCCCCCCGAUUGUCACAAUUAGCUUACACUUUCGCCACAUGCCCCACAUGACUCGGCUAUAUGCAAAACUUGCAAACUUGUGAAACAUAUUUUCUGUAUGUAACAUAAAACAUUUUAUACUUUUUCCCAGCUAGUCAAGGAUACGUGGAAAUGUGUAUUUGACUGUAGCAUCAGCCAGGACUGAGAGGGUGUGGACACCUGUCUGAGAUAUAGCAGUACCAGCCAAUGCAGGUCAAGUCAACAUGAGGUGCUGUAAUUGUCUUUAGAGACAGUCUGUUGCAUGGAAGGGUUAAAGUGGUCCGGUGGUCAUUAAAUAUAGAUUCAAACUAAAAGCCUGUAUGGAUGCAUUGAAGACAAGUUGGAUACAGAGUGAGAUACUUCUCUAAUGACAAUAUUUUCAGUAACUCAAUAGAAAAGUAAUACACUAGCUACUCUUUCAUUCUUUAUAGUCUAUUGUAGUGGUAAUCCCUAUAGUUUCUCUGCACUCGUGACCGUUUAUUCUUUUGUCAAGAACGUUCAUGAUGAUAAUCAGCGUUGUGAAGUAAAAUCAUACUGAUGGGUCUAGCAGAGCGACUUGCAAAGCUCUAGUUCACUUCCACAUGACUAGGCCUGUAUCCAGACUCAUUCCUAUGUUGCUCUCAGGGAGACAGGAAGAACAGUUGAGCUUUAUUGGGGGAAUCUGAUGCAGUGGGUGCAUGGUCCAGUGAGUACGGAGUGGAUCAGUGGUUAUUGUUCACUCCAACUUAAGUCACCUUCACUUCUUCAACAGACAAGCUCACUUUAUAUUCCAGACACAGUAACCACAGCUGGUUCCUUCACUAGUUAUUAUUGUAAAGAUAAUUUAUGCAGCUUGACACCUUAUCAAGACACAGAAAUAUUAAAACUAGAGCCAACAUGGCUGAGUUCUUUUUUAUAUAGAUGAUAAAGGUUGUAGUAGCGGUUCAUGCAAACUAGAGAUCGACCAAAAUGGGUUUUUCUAGUGCCAAUGGCGAUAUGUAGAGGCCAUGAUCAGCCAAUGGCCAGUAUGUGCUGCCAAUUUUGGGCCAAUAGUUGUUUUUGUUAUCUAGACAGUUUGUGCCUUAUUUGCAUGCUAAAAUGUGAGUAAUAACAACUGAUGCACAACUCUGAACCUGAAAUCAUGUUUAACCUCUGAAUUAACUAAUUCUUGAAUUUUAAUUUUGCACACUGUAAUAUAAAACAAAAGAUUCAACCAAAGCCGAUCAAGCAAAUCAAUAAACGGACAGAGACUUAAAUAUAAAAUAGAUUAAUAAGAAUAAUUAUCAGUUCAAAAUAUUGUUUUAAAGCAUUUAUUAAGCAGAUUAUUUUCAGGAACACAGAUAUACAUUUAAAUAAAAUUCGGCAGCAGCAUAGUCUGCCCACAGGUCGACACAACAAAAGAGGCAUAUCGGCCAAUGCCAGUAUGUAAAAAAUAAUCCUAGACAUAGAUAGAUCUGUCUAUUUCUAAUGAAUGCCUACACUUGAAUGAUCACUUUACUCUGCUUAAUACUGAAAAGAAAAAUUAUGAGCUGAAAAAUGUUAUGAAUCUCUUGUGCCAUAACUCAGACAAGAAUGUUAAAUCCUAUUCCUUCCACGUUUACUUGUGUCAAAUAAAUGGCAAAAUAAAACAAUUAUGAACAUGUGCCCUUCAAAAGGUUUGAAGAUUGCAUUUAUGCGAAUGCUGUUUUACUUAGUAACAGUAAAGGACAUCUUUGGGACCGCUUUUCCUGUGGGAAUAGUAAUGAUAACAUAACACAACAAAAUGCAUAGGUCAUAUAAUACAAAUGCAUUUUUAUGUACUUCACACGCAUUUUAAAAAUAAAACUCAAUGAAGCCCCAUUCAUACAAAAGAAAAGCUUCUGUCAGUCUUACCCCCAAAUGAUCCAAGGACCACUACCAAUCCUCGGUCCAGUGGUGGGAGACACCUGUGCAAUCAUGUCUUCUGUACUCGGACUUCACAUGGGAGAGUAAAAGCUUCACAAAGGGCAAAGAUCAGUUGUCGCAGUGGGAUUUCAUCCCACUCAUUCUCUUCCUAUCAGAUCCAGAUCCAUUAAUGUGCAACCCCAGCCAUGUGUGAUCAAUGGUUAAUCAAUACGCUUGUCUGUAAUCUAAACAUGCGUGCUACUGACAUGUUAGCAGGUCAGUAGGCUGUCAGGUGUGAGCGUCUGAGUUACUUUGGUUUCUUCCUCCUACAAAGAAGUUGUAUAAUGUUAAUGUGAGUGUUGGACUAUGGAGUGGAAGCACAUGAGCAGCAUUGCACACAAAGAGCUUCCCAGUGCUCAGUCACAUGACGCAGCACAUGUUCUUGUGUUGUUUCUCUUUCAUCCGCAUGGCUCUGGAGGAACAGGUCAAUGUUGUUUCACUUCCUGGACAGAUUUAUAAAUCUGUUCAUUAAAGCAAAAAGAGAGAAUGUGAGGGAAAUAGAAGCUUUGUGCAACGACUAAGAAAGCAAUGCAAUGUGUAAAAGUAAUUCCAAUAAUAAAUAAAUAAUGGCCUAUUUCAAAUCUUGAUUUUUUUAAACAUGUUUGCUUGUCACUGCUUCUGCAUGAUGAUUUCACUGGAUCUGGUUAAACACAAAAGAAUCAUUAAAUUAGAGCAAGAACAACAGUUUAUAAUAUAUUACAAUAAAAUUAAAAGAUGCUUAAAUAUCUAAAAACAAACUGUUUUGGUUUUCUUUUCUCUUUGCCCCCGGCUCUGUUUUCUCCCCACAAUCUGGCAUCUGUGCUUUUUUUGUUGUGCAACACUGUGAAGCAGCCAGUCACUCCUGAUCUGCAUUGAUCUGUUUGCUAAGUUUGUGAAAUUCACAUAAAAACCCAACACGUUCCUGUGGUUCAAACAUGUCCCAAAGCAAAGGUGGAAAACUUUUAUCGAACCUGACCUGAAGCAAAGAUACGCAUCAGGUUCUCACACGUUAGUAAUCAGAAUAAAUCUGACAUCUUGUUUGGCAAAUGAGAUUAUGUGUUACAGAUUAUCCUUUAUGUGUAAAAAAAAAUCAGUUUAUUUUAAUUUUCUAAACUUAAAUCUCACCAAUAGUCAGUGUUGAGUUUGUGUUAACAGUAAGGACACACACACACACACACACACACACACACACACACACACACACACACACACACACACACACACACACACACACACACACACACACACACACAUGCACGCACGCACGCACGCACGCACACACACACACACACACACAUGCGCACGUACACACACCAUCUAAGGUUAUGCAGUGAAACCAAGCAACUAAGCUGUGCAAUAAAAUAAAAUAAAUAAAAAGAAUUAUCAAGGUCACAACAUCAGUGAACGGUGGCCCAGAAGGUUCAACUAAGUACGAAACCACAACAAAAAUGCACAAAAGAAGUCAUAAUAAAACAGUUGUAAAGAUAUUAUGAAAUGAAAAAGCAUAAUAUGUUUUUAAAAUAUCCAUAUAAUUUUUAAACAAGGAAGGUACACAAUGACUUUAUAUCUUUAUAUCAAUUUAACAGGUGAAACUGCUAUGCUAGCAAUUAGCCUCUAUGCUAGCAACAUGUUGCUCCGUAUCUAAGCGGUUAUUACAUGUAUUCUCACAAGUUUGCUCAAUCUGAGAGCCUCUGGGUAAAUGUAAUGCUCUAAACUUUGCAUUUGGCAUCCUGGUUUCUAAUUAUUUGGGGAUGUUCAACGCCAACAGAGUUCCAUUUUCCAUUCUACUUGUGUGGAGAGUAGUGAUGUGUUGGUCGCGAACGGGCCGGCUCUACGAGCCGGCUCUUUGAAGUGAACAACGGGAGCCGGCUCGUAAUUGGGAGCUGUCCCCUCCCCCCUCCCCUCUUGCUUUGGUGAAAGCUACAGGCGAUUGGUCAACAUGUGCAACUGCGUGUCCAGACUGUCCGCACACAGAGCAGUAGGGGCGGGGAAGAGUAUGAAGGUCAAUCUGUUUCAAAAAGCACAAACCUGUAGAUCUGUUGUGUGUAUUUGUACUACAUGAUGGGUGCUUGAAAACAGUGUGUGUGUGUGCGUGCAGUACAGUGUGAGGAGCUGUACACCAACACCCGUAAACCUGUAAAGCUAAAUAUGCACCUGUAAGAAACACUCACAUGCAUUUGAAAUAAAAUACAGUUGUGUGUGACAUUUUCAACUACAAGUCUGUAAACACAAGUGUACAGAUCUGUUUCUGCACACGCUCAACUUUUUUAUUACAGUUGCACAGCUUUCCUCUCACACAUCUGAUUUUUGAAACUAUUUUCACGAUUAAUAUGUGUCAAAAUGCACAAGUUUGUAAAUUUGUUGUCUGAUUCCGUACAACACAAUGUGGACUUGAAGAUUGGAUGUGAGUGUGUGUACCGUAAAAGGUGAGCUUGAAGUUUUGAGGUGAGUGUCUGUGCAUUAAAACGUGAGAAGCUGCACAUCAACAUGUGUGAAAUUGUGAAGAUAAAUGGUACUUGUAAGAAAAAGUAAAUUGUAUGUGAAACAAAAUAAACUUACAUGUAAAAUUUUCUUCUGCGACCCAGUAAAUACAACUUCUCAAAUACGUUUCUGCGCAUGCUCAGUUGUUGUUUUACAAGCGCACAACUCUCCUCUCGCGAGUCUGACUUUUGAAACACUUCUGGCAGGUUGUGUGUUGCAAAUUGCAGCUGUGUGUAUCUGCAGAGGCGAGCGGAGCAGGGGAUGAGGGCGAGGGUGGGGGCGGAAGGAGGAGCCACAGAGGGAGGGUUGUCAUUGGUCGGCUCUGGUUUCCAGGACAACAGGCUCAACCAAUCAGAGUGAGAGCUGCGUUUUUCCCUCGGCUUUCAGUCCGCUGCCGUCUGCAGUUCGCGAUGGCUGAACGAGCUGGGGAACUGCUGCUCAACUAUCUGCUUGAAAGACUUUACAACCGUUCCUCUAAUUGGCUUGAUCGAGUUCCUCUAGAUCUCGAUUUUUUGGAAUUUGUAUGUUGUCAGGAGCUGGUUAUUCUGGGUGCUAUCUCAAACCAUUUGACGUCCCUCAGGACAUUUUAAAUGCACUUGCCCAAGUUUAUCAGAGACCUGCAGUCAAAAUAAAAAAGCACAAAUUAUUGUUGCUCACGAAAGAGGAGCCAUUGGUCGUCCCAAACUACUUAUUCCUGAGAAAUACACAGAACACCUCAUUUCUUUAGGUUUACCUGUCACGUGUAUUGCACAGCUGCUGGGGAUAUCUAGAGUUACAUUACACAGGCAAGUGAAAGAAUGGGGUUUAAGUGUGAGCCAAACUUACAGCACCAUGACUCACGAUGAGCUAGACUCUCUAGUGUCACAGAUCCAUGCCAGAAACCCAAAUGCAGGGUAUAGAUUGAUAAUAAUAAUAAUGCAUUGAACUUAUAUAGCGCUUUUCAAGUCACCAUGAUGAAAGGUCUGCUGAAGUCACAAGGAUAUAGACUUCAGUGGGAGCGUGUUCGGUCCUCUAUGCGCAGAUUAGACACUGCAGGCGUGGUUUCCUGAAUGUCCUAUCUCCGUUGUGUGGUCAGAAGAACGUAUUCUGUGCCUAGCCCACAAUCAUUUUAUUGCAGGAGCUUUACAUUCCACAGAUUGAAUGGGAAUCCAGUGGACUCAUCGACAAUGAACACAACUCUAGUGUUCAAGUUCCAGAAGUUGAAUGCCCGCUAAGUCCAGGAGAAUAUUCUGGACUCUGUGCAGCUGUGGAUCCACUGAGGUCAAUCUUGGGAUUGACAGUUAUUUAGCCACACGGCAUUACAUGCAAACCAUUGGCUAUAAUAAAAUCUUUCAUUUUUUGCA